RNAcentral lists this long non-coding RNA (671 nucleotides) under Homo sapiens (human). RNAcentral's name for it is "HSALNT0329642". The record is from RNAcentral. Lineage: Eukaryota; Metazoa; Chordata; Mammalia; Primates; Hominidae.
GUAAAUAUGUAGAGGGAGUAUAGGGCUGUGAUUAGUAUUUUGAGUUUGCUAGGCAGAAUAGUAAUGAGGAUGUAAGUCCGUGGGCGACUAUGAGAAUGACUGCGCCGGUGAAGCUUCAGGGGGGGUAGGGGGAGGGAGCCUACUAGGGUGUAGAAUAGGAAGUAUGUACCUGCGUUCAGGCGUUCUGGUUGGUUGCCUCAUCGGGUGAUGAUAGCCAGGGUGGGGAUAAGUGUGGUUUCGAAGAAGAUAUAAAAUAUGAUUAGUUCUAUGGCUGUGAAUGUCAUAAUUAAGGAGAUUUGUAGGGAGAUUAGUAUAGAGAGGUAGAGUUUUUUUCGUGAUAGUGGUUCAUUGGAUAAGUGGCGUUGGCUUGCCAUGAUUGUGAGGGGCAGGAGUCAGGUAGUUAGUAUUAGGAGGGGGGUCGUUAGGGGGUCGGAGGAGAAGGAUAAGGAGCAGCUAAAUAGGUUGUUGUUGAUUUGGUUGAAAAAUAGUAGGGGGAUGGUGCUAAUAAUUAGGCUGUGAGUGGUUGUGUUGAUUCAAAUUAUGUGUUUUUUGGAGAGUCAUGUCAGUGGUAGUAAUAUAAUUGUUGGGACAAUUAGUUUUAGCAUUGGAGUAGGCUUAGGUUAUGUACGUAGUCUAGGCCAUACGUGUUGGAGAUUGAGACUAGUAGGGCC